UAAAUGCUAGGCAUUGUUUUAGCUAUAGGAGUUGCUGGUGGGCAAUUAGAGUGUACAGUAUCAAGUCCUAGUGUUUAUGCUUUUCCAGGGGGAGGAGGUGAGGGCUGCUGCCAGGAGGUACGGAGUCUGUACAAAUUAGAAAAUAGUGCCAUUGGGUGGAAGGACACACCCUAUUCAGGAUGAUGCAGCCCCAAGUCCUGGCACAAGUCCUGAUGAGUGGAAUGUGGGCCAUCCGACCCUUGCGGCUCUUCCUGUUGGCAGGGCCUGACCUGCCCAGGUAUGUGUGCAGGCCCUGGGGAAGCUAGACAAUGCACAGUGAAUAAGCAGAACACAUGGUAGUUCAAAGACGAUCGAGAACCCAAAGUGGUGCUAUGGGUAUGUGUGUGUUGGGGGGGUUGGUGAUCCCUUUUAAAACAUGGUGGUGAUGGGAGACAAAUAAUUGUGAUUAGCAAAAAGCUGAAAGAGAUGAAGGAUCAAGCCAUAAAGGUGUUUGGAGGAUGGGUUCCAGGGAGAGGGAACAGGAAGCAGAAAGUUCCCAAGACGACGCUGGCCUGGAAUAAUUGAAGGAACAGCAAAGGGGCAGGGGCAGAAUGGAGAGAAGGAGAUGAAUAAGGGAGGUAAUGGAUGCAUCCCUUUUGCCUAGGACAGUUCGGGUUUAUACAUGUUGUUCUAGAAUAAUUGUUAGUGGGCUCCCUUCCACACUCAAAAAUGUCCCCAAAUGAUGAAAACACUCAUAGAUUUUCUAAAAUAUAUAAUGUAUAGACUAGUAAGUUAUGAUACAGUGUUGAAAACAACCACUUAUUUGUAACUCCAGUAACUCAAUCUGAUGUUUCAGAUCCUGGUUACCUUGGUGGGAAGCCACUGGGGAUUGUGUUAGGAAGGGAAUGUGGAGCCACAAUUGGGUUGUGGGCUGCAGUAUGUGACUCUGGCCUAACAGGGUCAUUUGACAUGACUUUUGGGAGGGGGAGAAGAGCUAGGGGCUGUUUCCCCUAGAAUUAGGUUUCUGGUGCCUGGGUAGCUGGCCUGGUCCUCAGGAUGCUGUCUUGGGGCCAGCUCCUGAGGUCUCCUUCCAUACUCUGGGGUGCAUGUGGGCAUUCAACCCACCUCAAAAAUUGUUUGUUUCAUGAAGGCUGCAGCACUAACCAUGGGGGGAGGUGAGUGCAAUUUCAGUUGCCUCUGUUUUUAAUCAACCCCACCCUGCACUGCAUGGUGCUUGCUAUAUUUUGGAUCAUGCUAACUCUUUGUAUCAUAAACUCUUCUGUAAUACCUGGGGAUCAAAGGAUCACAUUGCAAAUGAUUUCUGGAAGAUCGCAAGUGGCAGAGAACUUUGAGCACUCAUCCAGGUUCUAGUAGCCUCAUUUACCCACAUGGAUGCGAUACUGAUCACGUUGAGCUUUAGACCUUAGAGAUCUGGGAGAGGAGCAGUGUGUUCUUAUCAGUUACCUGAAGAUAACUUGGGCUUAGGGCAAGAU
RNAcentral lists this long non-coding RNA (1472 nucleotides) under Marmota monax (woodchuck). The record is from RNAcentral. Lineage: Eukaryota; Metazoa; Chordata; Mammalia; Rodentia; Sciuridae.